UGCCUAGGUUCCACGAUGCCAACAGUAA
This 28-nucleotide non-coding RNA is filed under the name Rattus norvegicus (Norway rat). The record is from RNAcentral. Lineage: Eukaryota; Metazoa; Chordata; Mammalia; Rodentia; Muridae.